Long non-coding RNA from Zonotrichia leucophrys gambelii, 447 nucleotides. RefSeq lists it as uncharacterized. The transcript has 3 exons. The record is from RefSeq and is a predicted model, not a curated record. Lineage: Eukaryota; Metazoa; Chordata; Aves; Passeriformes; Passerellidae.
UUUGAUUUUAGGUGUUAACAAAAAGGUUUAAAUGUCUCAGAAGCUGUUCCUGGAGGACAGAAGGUGACUGAGCCAAAUGGGGGACUCAUAGCUGCACUGAUGGCAAAUCCAAGGUUGGAUCUUCAGCCCUGCAGCCCCAGGGAGGUGGGAACAAACAAGACCCAGAGAACCUGAAACACAGCAGACUGGAUAGAUAGGUCUGUGUCACUGAGGUGGCUCGAGGAAGCUCCUGACCACAGCCAACACCCUCCACAAAUCUGCUCACAAGAAAGGAGAGGAACCCAUGCCCCAGCCAGCCAUGCAAAGCAGCCCAGCAUGAACCAGUGUCACCGGUCCUGCCCUGGCUCUGGGAGCUGGAGGCAGCCCUGGGGCAGGCAGGAGCUGGGCUUGCUGAGAUGGGUUUGAGGAGCAGAAAUCCCUCCCUUUCUGUCCAUAGGGAAAUCCAGG